GGCUGGUCCGAUGGUAGUCGGUUAUCAGAGCGUUUUAACGCUAGUGUCUCUACAGUUGGUGUACAAACCCCCACUGCUGAAUUUGACUGGCUUUAA
RNAcentral lists this Y RNA (96 nucleotides) under Echinops telfairi (small Madagascar hedgehog). RNAcentral describes it as "Y RNA (ENSETEG00000022580.1)". It matches the Rfam family "Y RNA". Rfam says of the family: Y RNAs are components of the Ro ribonucleoprotein particle (Ro RNP), in association with Ro60 and La proteins. The Y RNAs and Ro60 and La proteins are well conserved, but the function of the Ro RNP is not known. Lineage: Eukaryota; Metazoa; Chordata; Mammalia; Afrosoricida; Tenrecidae. The record is from RNAcentral.